Molecule: transfer RNA, 118 nt
Filed under: Talaromyces stipitatus ATCC 10500
Lineage: Eukaryota; Fungi; Ascomycota; Eurotiomycetes; Eurotiales; Trichocomaceae
Rfam family: tRNA
About the family: Transfer RNA (tRNA) molecules are approximately 80 nucleotides in length.
Source: Rfam by way of RNAcentral
CCCCUGAUGGUGUAGUUGGUUUAUCACGUCUGACUGUAAUGGUAAUGCAUAAUAUAUUAUAUAUUACGCAUGAUUGUUUAAUAUCAGAAGGUCGCUGGCUCGAUUCCGGCUCGGGGGA